GAUGAACGCUGGCGGCGUGCCUAAUACAUGCAAGUCGAGCGAACAGACGAGGAGCUUGCUCCUCUGACGUUAGCGGCGGACGGGUGAGUAACACUUGGAUAACCUACCUAUAAGACUGGGAUAACUUCGGGAAACCGGAGCUACUACCGGAUAAUAUAUUGAACCGCAUGGUUCACUAGUGAAAUUCGGUUUUUCUUGCGCUUAUAGAUGGAUCCGCGCCGCAUUAGCUAGUUGGUAAGGUAACGGCUUACCAAGGCGACGAUGCGUAGCCGACCUGAGAGCGUGAUCGGCCAGCCGGGCAGUGAGACACGCUACAGACUCCUACGCGAGGCAGCAGUAGGGACUCUUACGCAAUGGGGGAAAGCUUGACGGAGCAAAGCCGCGUGAGUGAUGAAGGUCUUAGGCUCGUAAAACUCUGUUAGUAGGGAAGAACAAAUGUGUAAGUAACUAUGCACGUAUUGACGGUACCUAAUCAGAAAGCCACGGCUAACUACGUG
Molecule: ribosomal RNA, 497 nt
Filed under: uncultured bacterium
Lineage: Bacteria
Description: partial 16S ribosomal RNA
Rfam family: Bacterial small subunit ribosomal RNA
Source: RNAcentral